This is a long non-coding RNA of Lynx canadensis (Canada lynx), 1143 nucleotides long. RefSeq lists it as uncharacterized. NCBI's taxonomy places the organism in Eukaryota, Metazoa, Chordata, Mammalia, Carnivora, Felidae. The record is from RefSeq and is a predicted model, not a curated record. The transcript has 4 exons.
GCUUUUAUAAAAGAAGGAAGUUCAGACACAGGCUCCAGCAUGGAUGAACCUUGAGAACAUUCUGCUAAAUGGAAAAAGCCGGCAACAAGAAGACAAAUACUGUAGGGACUCCACUCAGGAGAGGUGGAAAUAUGAAUCUGGAGUCAUGAGCCAGAGGCGCUCCCUACUCCCCCUCUGCACGAACUUGGUGGCUCACGCCCAGUCUCUGACCUCUGAACCCACCUUCCACUCUGCCAGGAACAAGGCGGAUAUUAAAACAUAAAAAAGCGCCCAUGCAGGAGACAUUUUGUUCUUUAUGCUGCCCCAUGGCUUCUGAGUCUUGUCUUCAGCCCCAGAACCACAGGCGUUAAUGCAUGCAUAAGCCAAUCCAGCUGAUCUGGCUGGAUCAAGUUGCCUGACUGAUGCGAAGAUGCCUCCUGUCAGAGGUACGGGGGCUCCCCAGGGAGCGGAUCAAGUUGACAGCUGAGCAGUCCACAGCAUUCCAUCUGUCACUCCGCACAGCCCAUCACCUCGACUAUCUUGGUUUAUCUUAUCCCAAGUCGCCCAACCUCACGGUCUGCCCAUCAUAAAGACUUUAUGGGAUUCUAACCUUUUUUGGAUCCUGAACCUCUUCGAGAAGCCAGCGAAAGCUUCCCCGCAAGAGCACACACGCACCUCCGAAUAAUUUUAGAAGGUCCUGGAUCCCUCCCCUCAAGCACAUCCGAGAAACUUCAGUUUGAAGCAGCCCUGUUACGUAGCCCCUAAUUUCUCUUCACACUUGUAAGGCAAACUCCUGAGCCCCAGCUCUAAUGUCUACACCUAACUUGUUUAUGAGCGCCCAUCAGCCACCUAACGCGUUGGUGCCUUCGGAGGUUUGUCUGCACAAGGGCAAAAAUAAGCACGUGCACACGCACACGUCUUGGCAGGAAUGAAAUAGCAAAGCCAAGUCCCAAAUGGCGCGCGCUCAUUUAGCCUCCUGGCCCUUGACGAUACGAAGCCAGUGCUGGGAGUGAAGGCAGGGCCAGCGAUCACACUCACGUCAAGGAGCCAGGAUUGGUCAGCCUUCUUCCAUUCGAAAAGCAGCAGCACCGAAUAAUAAGCCAACAUGCUGGACACUCUCCCACCUCCGUAAGCGAUUGCUAGUAAACACUUACUGCUCCCCAA